Molecule: ribosomal RNA, 253 nt
Filed under: uncultured bacterium
Lineage: Bacteria
Description: partial 16S ribosomal RNA
Rfam family: Bacterial small subunit ribosomal RNA
Source: RNAcentral
UACGUAGGUGGCAAGCGUUGUCCGGAAUUAUUGGGCGUAAAGAGCUCGUAGGCGGUCUGUCGCGUCGGAUGUGAAAGCCCGGGGCUUAACCCCGGGUCUGCAUUCGAUACGGGCAGACUAGAGUGUGGUAGGGGAGAUCGGAAUUCCUGGUGUAGCGGUGAAAUGCGCAGAUAUCAGGAGGAACACCGGUGGCGAAGGCGGAUCUCUGGGCCAUUACUGACGCUGAGGAGCGAAAGCGUGGGGAGCGAACAGG